GGGGCUGUAGCUCAGUGGUAGAGCCCUUGCCUCGUAGGUAUGAGGCCCUGGGUUCGAUUCUCAGCAUCACA
Molecule: transfer RNA, 71 nt
Filed under: Marmota monax (woodchuck)
Lineage: Eukaryota; Metazoa; Chordata; Mammalia; Rodentia; Sciuridae
Description: tRNA.Thr
Rfam family: tRNA (bases 6-66)
About the family: Transfer RNA (tRNA) molecules are approximately 80 nucleotides in length. Their secondary structure includes four short double-helical elements and three loops (D, anti-codon, and T loops). Further hydrogen bonds mediate the characteristic L-shaped molecular structure. tRNAs have two regions of fundamental functional importance: the anti-codon, which is responsible for specific mRNA codon recognition, and the 3' end, to which the tRNAs corresponding amino acid is attached (by aminoacyl-tRNA synthetases). tRNAs cope with the degeneracy of the genetic code in two manners: having more than one tRNA (with a specific anti-codon) for a particular amino acid; and 'wobble' base-pairing, i.e. permitting non-standard base-pairing at the 3rd anti-codon position.
Source: RNAcentral